CCUACGGGGGGCAGCAGUGGGGAAUAUUGCACAAUGGGGGAAACCCUGAUGCAGCGACGCCGCGUGAGUGAAGAAGUAUUUCGGUAUGUAAAGCUCUAUCAGCAGGGAAGAGAAUGACGGUACCUGACUAAGAAGCCCCGGCUAACUACGUGCCAGCAGCCGCGGGAAUACGUAGGGGGCAAGCGUUAUCCGGAUUUACUGGGUGUAAAGGGGGCGUAGGGGGCAGGGCAAGUCAGAUGUGAAAGCCCGGGGCUCAACCCCGGUACUGCAUUUGAAACUGUCCAGCUGGAGUGCAGGAGAGGUAAGCGGAAUUCCUAUUGUAGCGGUGAAAUGCGUAGAUAUUAGGAGGACCACCAGUGGCGAAGGCGGCUUACUGGACUGUAACUGACACUGAGGCACGAAAGCGUGGGGAGCAAACAGGAUUAGAUACCCGGGUAGUC
RNAcentral lists this ribosomal RNA (440 nucleotides) under uncultured bacterium. RNAcentral's name for it is "partial 16S ribosomal RNA". It matches the Rfam family "Bacterial small subunit ribosomal RNA", at positions 338 to 795 of the family's 1533-position model. The record is from RNAcentral.